GUUCUUGUGGUUUAAUAAUAACGGUGGUUUUUCAAGUCAUUAGUUCAGGUUAAAGUCCUGGCAGGAAUU
RNAcentral lists this transfer RNA (69 nucleotides) under Neoepinnula orientalis (sackfish). Its description in RNAcentral is "tRNA-Glu". It matches the Rfam family "tRNA". From Rfam's summary of the family: Transfer RNA (tRNA) molecules are approximately 80 nucleotides in length. Their secondary structure includes four short double-helical elements and three loops (D, anti-codon, and T loops). Lineage: Eukaryota; Metazoa; Chordata; Actinopteri; Scombriformes; Gempylidae. The record is from RNAcentral.